AUUGAACGCUGGCGGCAGGCCUAACACAUGCAAGUCGAGCGGAUGAAGGGAGCUUGCUCCUGGAUUCAGCGGCGGACGGGUGAGUAAUGCCUAGGAAUCUGCCUGGUAGUGGGGGAUAACGUCCGGAAACGGGCGCUAAUACCGCAUACGUCCUGAGGGAGAAAGUGGGGAAUCUUCGGACCUCACGCUAUCAGAUGAGCCUAGGUCGGAUUAGCUAGUUGGUGGGGUAAAGGCCUACCAAGGCGACGAUCCGUAACUGGUCUGAGAGGAUGAUCAGUCACACUGGAACUGAGACACGGUCCAGACUCCUACGGGAGGCAGCAGUGGGGAAUAUUGGACAAUGGGCGAAAGCCUGAUCCAGCCAUGCCGCGUGUGUGAAGAAGGUCUUCGGGUUGUAAAGCACUUUAAGUUGGGAGGAAGGGCAGUAAGUUAAUACCUUGCUGUUUUGACGUUACCAACAGAAUAAGCACCGGCUAACUUCGUG
RNAcentral lists this ribosomal RNA (484 nucleotides) under uncultured bacterium. RNAcentral describes it as "partial 16S ribosomal RNA". It matches the Rfam family "Bacterial small subunit ribosomal RNA", at positions 30 to 507 of the family's 1533-position model. The record is from RNAcentral.